This 880-nucleotide long non-coding RNA is filed under the name Homo sapiens (human). RNAcentral's name for it is "novel transcript". The record is from RNAcentral. Lineage: Eukaryota; Metazoa; Chordata; Mammalia; Primates; Hominidae.
CAAUGCCAACCACAAAUGGGGCCAGCUAAGGGUGUGGUGGGAGAAGCCAUCCUGCAGCUCUGAGAUCCACAAAGUGGAGAUAGCAGUAGCACCAACUCCACUGCUUUGGAGGCUGCCCAGUCGAAUUUGGGAGCCAGCGAGGGACCUGACAGCAGCACAUUGGACACCAGAAGACACCCAAAGGGAGAGGAGUGGAAGACCUUCUGGUGUGGGCUGGGCAGCAAUUCACUUGAAGGAGAAACAGCCCGGGUGUGGAGAGGCGGCCAUCCUUGGCGGGAUCCUUUCUAAGGAGCCGAGAAAUCAACGUAGAGCUUCCUCUAUCUGAUUCUCUAACAACUGCAGACCUUCCAUGAGUCAAGCUUUGUGUCAAAAGGACAAAUUAAAAGGACCUAUAAAUGGCACCACCCAGCCCAAUGGACAGAUGCCCCAGGCUGCAGAUUCUGUCAGUGCUGUUCUCGAAGAGGCCCAGGCACAUGCUGAAACAUGGAAGGAUAAGAAGCCAGCCCUCGGGAACCACCAGGAGCCAGGAGCACCCCCGGCCCCCCAAGGCCCCAAGUCCAGCCUGCCCCACCCCCUCCGGUGCAGAGGUCCUGUGACACCAGUGGCAGCCCCGCCACACCCCCCAAGGCCAAGGGCACAGGCAGCGUGGUCUUCCCCGCCCCGCCCGACUACUUCCUGCCGCCACAGCCACCAAUGCCGCCCCUGGAGUACCCAGAGCUCCCGCUGCCGUCCCCGGACUUCAUGGAGACCCCCCUGGACUUCGUGCUCCCUCCCCUCGCUGUCGCCAAGAGGCCUCCUAUGCCCCACCCCCCCAACAGGCACGAAGCAUCAAUGUUCACAAGCAGCAAAUGAAUAAAAGUUAAACGUUCUUCCUACUGCA